AGUAAUCUUGCCCAUCUUGUUAUCCUGUAGGCGGUCAAGCCUGUCCCGAUACAAAGUGGUGCCAUGAGGAGUGACUACCCAAGGGAGACAGCCUCAGAGGUCACAGAAGCUGAAAGGCCGGAUGAAAGCUCUCAGGAUUUCCAGGUUUCAUAAGACACUUUCUCAAGCAUUGGGGAAUCCGGCUCCCGGGACAAGCUCACUGGUCACUGGCUCCACUUGGAAUUGAAAGAACCCGAUGCUUGAAGUGUAAGUGGGGUCACUGUAAAGAAGAAACACAGGGGGCUGGGGAUUAUAGCUCAG
This 300-nucleotide long non-coding RNA is filed under the name Rattus norvegicus (Norway rat). Its description in RNAcentral is "long non-coding RNA NONRATT032980". Lineage: Eukaryota; Metazoa; Chordata; Mammalia; Rodentia; Muridae. The record is from RNAcentral.